Molecule: ribosomal RNA, 505 nt
Filed under: uncultured bacterium
Lineage: Bacteria
Description: partial 16S ribosomal RNA
Rfam family: Bacterial small subunit ribosomal RNA
Source: RNAcentral
GACGAACGCUGGCGGCGUGCCUAAUACAUGCAAGUAGAACGCACAGUUUAUACCGUAGCUUGCUACACCAUAGACUGUGAGUUGCGAACGGGUGAGUAACGCGUAGGUAACCUGCCUGGUAGCGGGGGAUAACUAUUGGAAACGAUAGCUAAUACCGCAUAAUAUUGAUUAUUGCAUGAUAAUUGAUUGAAAGAUGCUAUUGCAUCACUACCAGAUGGACCUGCGUUGUAUUAGCUAGUAGGUGAGGUAACGGCCCACCUAGGCGACGAUACAUAGCCGACCUGAGAGGGUGAUCGGCCACACUGGGACUGAGACACGGCCCAGACUCCUACGGGAGGCAGCAGUAGGGAAUCUUCGGCAAUGGACGAAAGUCUGACCGAGCAACGCCGCGUGAGUGAAGAAGGGUUUCGGAUCGUAAAGCUCUGUUGUAAGAGAAGAACGGGUGUGAGAGUGGAAAGUUCACACUGUGACGGUAUCUUACCAGAAAGGGACGGCUAACUACGUG